This 301-nucleotide ribosomal RNA is filed under the name uncultured bacterium. Its description in RNAcentral is "partial 16S ribosomal RNA". It matches the Rfam family "Bacterial small subunit ribosomal RNA", at positions 509 to 807 of the family's 1533-position model. The record is from RNAcentral.
CAGUAGCCGCGGUAAUACGGAGGGUGCAAGCGUUACUCGGAAUUACUGGGCGUAAAGCGUGCGUAGGUGGUGGUUUAAGUCCGUUGUGAAAGCCCUGGGCUCAACCUGGGAAUUGCAGUGGAUACUGGGUCACUAGAGUGUGGUAGAGGAUAGUGGAAUUUCCGGUGUAGCAGUGAAAUGCGUAGAGAUCGGAAGGAACAUCUGUGGCGAAGGCGACUAUCUGGGCCAACACUGACACUGAGGCACGAAAGCGUGGGGAGCAAACAGGAUUAGAUACCCGUGUAGUCCCUGUCUCUUAUAC